This is a non-coding RNA of Opisthocomus hoazin, 1626 nucleotides long. NCBI's taxonomy places the organism in Eukaryota, Metazoa, Chordata, Aves, Opisthocomiformes, Opisthocomidae. The record is from Rfam.
AGGUGAUAGAAAAGAAACCUGGCGCGAUAGAGAUCUUGUACCGUAAGGGAAAGGUGAAAUAAUAAUGAAAAACUCAAGCAAUAAAUAGCAAAGAUCAGCCCUUGUACCUUUUGCAUCAUGAUCUAGCAAGAAUAACCAAGCAAAAUGAACUUAAGCCUGUCACCCCGAAACCCAAGCGAGCUACUUACAAGCAGCUACCCUUGAGCGAACCCAUCUCUGUGGCAAAAGAGUGGGAUGACUUGCCAGUAGCGGUGAAAAGCCAACCGAGCUGGGUGAUAGCUGGUUGCCUGUGAAAUGAAUCUAAGUUCCCUCUUAAUUUUCCUCCACGGACCAUCUAGUCUAACCCCCAUGAAGUAAAUCAAGAGCAAUUUAGAGGAGGUACAGCUCCUUUAAGAAAGAACACAAUCUCUCAUAGAGGAUAAAUAUCAGCCAUUCCCUUGACUGUGGGCCUUCAAACAGCCAUCCAAAAAGAAACAGCCAUCAAAAAAGAAUGUGUCAAAGCUCUGUAAUGAAAAAAAUCUAAAAAUAGAACGACUCCCUUUACUACUAACAGGCCAGCCUAUUAACCAUAGGAGAAUUAAUGCUAAAAUGAGAAACUAAGGAUUAUCCCCUCUCAGGCGCACGCUUACACACCUGUUAUUAACAGACUAAUCAAUACCUCAAUACCAACAAGCUUAAAUAUUGAUACACCUGUUAACCUGCCUCAGGAGCGCCCAUCAGAAAGAUUAACAUCUGUAAAAGGAACUAGGCAAACCCAAGGCCCGACUGUUUACCAAAAACAUAGCCUUCAGCAGACCAAGUAUUGAAGGUGAUGCCUGCCCAGUGACCCAAUGUUUAACGGCCGCGGUAUCCUAACCAUGCGAAGGUAGCGCAAUCAAUUGUCCCAUAAAUCGAGACUUGUAUAAAAGGCUAAACGAGGUCUUAACUGUUUCUUACAGAUGAUCAGUGAAAUCGAUCUCCCUGUGCAAAAGCAGGGAUAAACUCAUGAGACGAGAAGACCCUGCGGAACUUAAAAUUCAGCUGCCACCCCUCACAAACUCAAACCUACCAGGCACACCCUCACUAAAACGCUGGUAUGCAUUUUUUCAGUUGGGGCGGAGACGAGAAGACCCUGCGGAACUUAAAAUUCAGCUGCCACCCCUCACAAACUCAAACCUACCAGGCACACCCUCACUAAAACGCUGGUAUGCAUUUUUUCAGUUGGGGCGACCUUGGAGAAAAACAAACCCUCCAAAAAUAAGACCAUACUUCUUAACCGAGAGCAACCUCUCAACGUACUAAUAGUAACCAGACCCAAUAUAAUUGAUUAAUGGACCAAGCUAGCUACCCCAGGGAUAACAGCGCAAUUUCCUCCAAGAGCUCGUAUCGACAAGGAGGUUUACGACCUCGAUGUUGGAUCAGGACAUCCUAAUGGUGCAGCCGCUAUUAAGGGUUCGUUUGUUCAAUGAUUAACAGUCCUACGUGAUCUGAGUUCAGACCGGAGCAAUCCAGGUCAGUUUGUAUCUGUGUUAAACUUUCCCUAGUAUGAAAGGACCGGGAAAAUGAGGCCAAUACCAAAAGCACGCCUCCCCUUGUAAGUAAUGACCCCAACUUAACUACCAAAAGGACUACCCACUUAUUACCUCU